RNAcentral lists this ribosomal RNA (459 nucleotides) under uncultured bacterium. Its description in RNAcentral is "partial 16S ribosomal RNA". It matches the Rfam family "Bacterial small subunit ribosomal RNA", at positions 338 to 795 of the family's 1533-position model. The record is from RNAcentral.
CCUACGGGCGACUGCAGUGAGGAAUAUUGGUCAAUGGACGCAAGUCUGAACCAGCCAAGCCGCGUGCAGGAAGACGGCCCUAUGAGUUGUAAACUGCUUUUGUACGAGGAUAAACGCAGAUACGUGUAUCUGUCUGACAGUAUCUUAUGAAUAAGCAUCGGCUAACUCCGUGCCAGCAGCCGCGGUAAUACGGAGGAUGCGAGCGUUAUCCGGAUUUAUUGGGUUUAAAGGGUGCGUAGGCGGUUUGUUAAGUUAGUGGUAAAAUGUCGGGGCUUCACUUUGGUUUGCCAUUAGUACGGUAAGACUUGAGUUCAGACGAGGUAGGCGGAAUAAGUUAAGUAGCGGUGAAAUGCUUAGAUAUAACUUAGAACUCCGAUAGCGAAGGCAGCUUACCAGACUGCGACUGACGCUGAAGCACGAGAGCGUGGGUAGCGAACAGGAUUAGAUACCCUAGUAGUC